This 980-nucleotide unclassified non-coding RNA is filed under the name Trypanosoma rangeli. The record is from RNAcentral. Lineage: Eukaryota; Euglenozoa; Kinetoplastea; Trypanosomatida; Trypanosomatidae.
UUUCUGUACUAUAUUGGUAUGCAGCGCUUCCGGAUGCGUCCGAACGGUCGUGUUCUGGUAAAUUUUGGGAGGAGGGUCUUCGGACCCUCUUUUUUUUUGUCAAUUUUUUUUUCUGUUUGAUGAAUGCGUUUGCAGGGUGGUAGUUGCCUCUGGGCCUGGGGUUCCGGUGUGGGGGUGGCGGCCGUUGCGCCCAUUCAUUUAUCCACACGCAAGCGUUGGGCACACACAMMMUAUAUAUAUAUAURUAUGUAUAUUACAAAUGCACAAGCUGCUGCUAUUGUAUUAUUAUUAUWAUUGAUGUAUGCGUGUUGUUACUUAUUACAAUAUAUAGAGAGCGCAUUGUGCAAGAUGAGGCGUGGCUCUGCACAACGCCGUAGAGGUGGAGGGAAGGGAAAGGGGGAGGGCUAGGGAGAGAGCGCAGAGCUCUCUCAACACUGAAAACGGGAGGAGUGGGUACGACCAUACUUGGCCGAAUGCACCACAUCCCGUCCGAUUUGUGAAGUUAAGCGGUCACAGGCCUCGUUAGUACGGCGAUCAGUGAUGGCGCUGGAACCCGGGGUGUCGUACUCUCUCAUCACUAYUUUUUUUUUCACCACACACAUUGCCUUUUUAAACCCACGCACGCACACGCAUGCACAAUAUUGUGCGCCCCCGCGCCUUAUUUKUUCUCCCCCAGCGCACGCCGCCCAAGAGGCAAACGGCAUAUACACAGCCCCCGCGGUAACAAUAAGCGGGGGGGGGGGAGGGGAGGGGAAAGGGCUUGGCCCAGCAGCAUCCGCCGUGGCGCGCGGACGCGAGCUCACACCGACACGCCGGCACCGCUGCGCCCCGCACGCGCGCCGAAAGAGGGGGAGUGUGAGGGGGGGGGGGGGUGGAAAAGUGGACCCGUCCGCAUCCUAUUGUGAUCCCCAUCUUUGCAAAACAUCGGGCAGGGGCGGGAGGGAGUGCUUUCAACUAACGCUAUUAUUGAUACAGUUUUU